RNAcentral lists this ribosomal RNA (486 nucleotides) under uncultured bacterium. Its description in RNAcentral is "partial 16S ribosomal RNA". It matches the Rfam family "Bacterial small subunit ribosomal RNA", at positions 30 to 507 of the family's 1533-position model. The record is from RNAcentral.
AUUGAACGCUGGCGGCAUGCCUUACACAUGCAAGUCGAACGGCAGCGCGGACUUCGGUCUGGCGGCGAGUGGCGAACGGGUGAGUAAUACAUCGGAACGUACCCUGUUGUGGGGGAUAACUAGUCGAAAGAUUAGCUAAUACCGCAUACGACCUGAGGGUGAAAGUGGGGGACCGGAAACGGCCUCCUGCAGCAGGAGCGGCCGAUGUCUGAUUAGCUAGUUGGGGGGGUAAAGGCCCACCAAGGCGACGAUCAGUAGCUGGUCUGAGAGGACGAUCAGCCACACUGGAACUGAGACACGGCCCAGACUCCUACGGGAGGCAGCAGUGGGGAAUUUUGGACAAUGGGGGCAACCCUGAUCCAGCAAUGCCGCGUGUGUGAAGAAGGCCUUCGGGUUGUAAAGCACUUUUGUCCGGAAAGAAAUCGCGCUGGUUAAUACCUGGCGUGGAUGACGGUACCGGAAGAAUAAGCACCGGCUAACUACGUG